AUUGAACGCUGGCGGCAGGCCUAACACAUGCAAGUCGAGCGGAUGAAGGGAGCUUGCUCCUGGCUUCAGCGGCGGACGGGUGUGUAAUGCCUAGGAAUCUGCCUGGUAGUGGGGGAUAACGUCCGGAAACGGGCGCUAAUACCGCAUACGUCCUGAGGGAGAAAGUGGGGGAUCUUCGGACCUCACGCUAUCAGAUGAGCCUAGGUCGGAUUAGCUAGUUGGUGGGGUAAAGGCCUACCAAGGCGACGAUCCGUAACUGGUCUGAGAGGAUGAUCAGUCACACUGGAACUGAGACACGGUCCAGACUCCUACGGGAGGCAGCAGUGGGGAAUAUUGGACAAUGGGCGAAAGCCUGAUCCAGCCAUGCCGCGUGUGUGAAGAAGGUCUUCGGAUUGUAAAGCACUUUAAGUCGGGAGGAAGGGCAGUAAGUUAAUACCUGGCUGUUUUGACGGUACCAAAAGAAUAAGCACCGGCUAACUUCGUG
This 484-nucleotide ribosomal RNA is filed under the name uncultured bacterium. RNAcentral's name for it is "partial 16S ribosomal RNA". It matches the Rfam family "Bacterial small subunit ribosomal RNA", at positions 30 to 507 of the family's 1533-position model. The record is from RNAcentral.